Long non-coding RNA from Balaenoptera musculus (blue whale), 1570 nucleotides. RefSeq lists it as uncharacterized. The transcript has 3 exons. Lineage: Eukaryota; Metazoa; Chordata; Mammalia; Artiodactyla; Balaenopteridae. The record is from RefSeq and is a predicted model, not a curated record.
GCAGUGCGCCUGCGCGCGGCCUACCCCGAGAGUGGAGGGAAUGGUGCGUGCGGGCGUGUCUCCCCGGACUCUAGAACGUCGGAUCCUGGGGCAGGUCCGAGCCCAAGUGUCUUGCAUACCACAGAAAGGCAGCUUCAAUGGCCUGGGAAGAAACUCACACUUCGCUCUGAGGGUUCCCGCCCAGCUCAAGGCUCACACACGUCACGGUGCACUCAGCAGAGGCGCUGACAGAGCCAGAGGACCAGGAUCAGUUACACAGGGAGAGGAGUCACUCACCCUUGGAAUCUGGCCACAUGCUGUAAGGAAGCCUAGGCCACAUGGAGAUGCCACAUACAGAUGUUCCCGCUGAUAAUCCCAGCAAAGAUUCCAGGCAACAGCCAACAUCAAUUGCUAAUCAUAUGCAUGAAUGAGCACUCAGAUGAUUCCAGCUCUUAGUCUUCAAGUUGCCCAGAGGAGCAGAGAUGAGCUGUCUCCACUAAACCCUACCCAAACUGGAGAUUCGAGAGCAAAAUAAAUCGUUUAAGCCACAGCAAUGGUUUGUUAUGCAACCAUAGGUAACUAGGACUCUGUAGUAUCUGUGUGUUCUUGGGAAGUCUUCUGGUGAUAUCAGACUUUGGAUAAUUUCUUCUCUCUAGGCCUUGGUUUCCUCAGCUGUAAAAUGGAACAAUAAUUACUACAUCAUGGGAAUGUUGUGAGGUUUAAAUGAGAUAAUACACACAAGGUGCUCUUUUUAUAAUGGGACUUAAACAAAUGCUACCUAAUAUUAUUUCAACUUACUUCUGUCAAGUUGUUCUAGAUUUACUGCUUUGUACAAAUUCCCUUUCAUGGUAUGUGUCAUAUACACACAAACAUAAAACCUGCUUUUGUAUAUACACACCCAGGCACAUCACAAUACCGCAGUUUCUACAUUGCUCUCUUGGAACACUUGUUCCGGGGGACGCCAGCUACCAUUUCAUAAGGAUGCUCAAGCAGCCUUAUAAGGAGAUCCAUAUAGUGAGAAACAGACCUCUUGCCUCACUAACUUGCCAACCAUGUGAGUGACCUACCUGGAAGCUGAUCCUCUAGCCCUAGUCAGCCUUCAGAUGACUGCAACCUUUUAGAGAUCCCAAGCCAGAAACACCCUCCUAAGCCACUCUUGAUUCCCAUAGAAACUGCAAAAACUGUAUGAAAUUAAAAAAAAAAAAUAUUGUUUUAAGUCACUAAGCUUUGGGAUAACGUAUUAUGCACUAAUAGUUAACUAAUAGAUCAAUCAUCAUGAGGAGGGAUGCAGGGAAGAAACUGAUUCAAGGUUGAGGGCUGUUUCAGGGUCAAUGUGGAAGGACAGAGAUGGCUGAAUGGACUUGAAAGUGUUGAUGAGACUGAGUUUGAAAUAAAUCAUCAUGGAGUCCAGGGUAGAAAGGGAAGAAAGCAAAACCAGAUGAGGGAACAGAUUUGGAACUGGGAGACUGUAAACUGCAGAUUUCACUGAAGCUGAAGAGCAGGUUUGGUGAGGGUAAAGGAGUAAGAAUCUGCAAAAAAAGAAAUUUUGUUUUGAAUGUGGAAUACCUUGCUUACUGAUUCAAAGGUGGAA